UACGUAGGGACCAAGCGUUGUUCGGAUUUACUGGGCGUAAAGGGCGCGUAGGCGGUGCGGUAAGUCACUUGUGAAAUCUCCGAGCUUAACUCGGAACGGCCAAGUGAUACUGCAGUACUAGAGUGCGGAAGGGGCAAUCGGAAUUCUUGGUGUAGCGGUGAAAUGCGUAGAUAUCAAGAGGAACACCUGAGGUGAAGACGGGUUGCUGGGCCGACACCGACGCUGAUGCGCGAAAGCCAGGGGAGCAAACGGG
This 253-nucleotide ribosomal RNA is filed under the name uncultured bacterium. Its description in RNAcentral is "partial 16S ribosomal RNA". It matches the Rfam family "Bacterial small subunit ribosomal RNA", at positions 524 to 776 of the family's 1533-position model. The record is from RNAcentral.